RNAcentral lists this non-coding RNA (75 nucleotides) under Kushneria sp. Its description in RNAcentral is "SAH sequence". It matches the Rfam family "SAH (S-adenosyl-L-homocysteine) riboswitch aptamer". Lineage: Bacteria; Pseudomonadati; Pseudomonadota; Gammaproteobacteria; Oceanospirillales; Halomonadaceae. The record is from RNAcentral.
CGUUUCGAGGGGCGCUGCAGCGGAGGUUUUCGCGAGGCUCGAAGCGGUGGUUAUCAGUAACGGCGCCCGCUGUCU